CAAUAAUACUUGUAACUUUAAUGUCUAAACAGAAAUGUUCUCCUCAUUCGAACUCGACUGACAUAUUUCACACACAUAAAAGUUGGAAAAAUUGUCAAUUCAGGCAAUAAAACCGAAAAGUUUUAUAAGUUUCUUCUUUAACCGAAGAUCGAGAAUAACAACUACUGGCGCCGUGAAGCUGUAAACAAAGUGAUCAAUAUCAGAUACCUGCAAUCCAUAACUGGACGAAAACAUAAAAGUUAGUUUGAAAUUGUUCUCUUUCGUACUUACAUUUCCAUAUUAGCUUGAUAGAUAUGUUCAGAUCGAAUCAGAGGAUUAAGUUGAUUAAUUUCUUACACUGGCAGACAGUUUUCGACACAUACCAUAAACUAUUCGUUCAAAAGAAGUUUAUAUCAAUUAAGCACCACUUGAUGACUGGAAUAUACGUAGCCGUAUUAUUAUUAUAUGUUCACUGAUGGAUGUAUGUACUAUAUAAAUAAUAAAAUAAA
Long non-coding RNA from Photinus pyralis (common eastern firefly), 488 nucleotides. RefSeq lists it as uncharacterized. NCBI's taxonomy places the organism in Eukaryota, Metazoa, Arthropoda, Insecta, Coleoptera, Lampyridae. The record is from RefSeq and is a predicted model, not a curated record. The transcript is spliced from 2 exons.